Carya illinoinensis is the source of this 2795-nucleotide RNA transcript. It is a transcript of the gene named protein TPX2, with no coding region annotated. The transcript has 20 exons. The record is from RefSeq and is a predicted model, not a curated record. NCBI's taxonomy places the organism in Eukaryota, Viridiplantae, Streptophyta, Magnoliopsida, Fagales, Juglandaceae.
UCACGCUCAUUAACCACCAAAAUUCUUCUUCACCAUUUUAUCAGCACCAGAAAGAAAACCUCGAUUGAGGACUCACAAAAAGCCCUUAUAAAUCAGGAGAAGUUAAAAGACAAGAAUCAGCGUAUUUCGUGCGUCGUAAUCAUAUGGCGGAAGUCGCUGAGGAGUCGAAUAGAAUGAUAUCCACGAUGAUGAUGAUAGACGAAGCGUACGAGUUCUCGGCGCCGCGGUUCUACGAUUUUAUAAAGGGAGAGACAGAGGAAGACGUCAUAAAAGCCGAGCUUUGGUUCGACUCCGGUCUCACCUACGCUCCUUCCCCUUGUAUGCCUAGAAUCAGGACUGGUAGAUCUUUUACAGUUGAGAGCUUAUGCAGUUUCAAUGAAGCAGACCAAAUAAUGCAGAAGACCUCAGAGUCAUCACACCCAAAGGCUACUGAUAGUAACUCAGAAGUUAAACCUCAAGGAGAGGUUAUGCCGGCUGAAACCAAGAAGCAAGAAGUAACACCCACAGAGGCCAAAGAACAAAAUAACGCCCCAGUAGUUUCUGCUGAUAAGGUGAUAGGCGAAGAUGGUAAAGGAGAAGGUGCACGCACCACAGAAACUGGAAGAGUAUGUGCUGGAAGAGCUCCUGCCAGUGUGAAAAUAGAAGCUAGUGAUGACAAGUCGAAUAGUAAAUCCACUGUUAAUGUAGGAACUGAAGCUUGCACACCUAAGCCUACAAUGACUUCUCGAAAGGGAGACCUGAUGACUGAUUCGAAGAAGCACCAAACAGCUAAAAAGAUAGCCAGUUUGGUUAGGAACCCAUCAGCAUUAAAGCCUAGAAAUCAAUUACAGUCAUCCCAUGCCAAAAGCAUCAAACCAUCCAGUGUGAAGAGGGAGACAACUGGGAAAAACCCUGCUGGAACUCCCAAUUUAGCUCAAGAGAACCAAGCCAUUAAGCGGCAGAAGUUGGAAGGAGGAAGAACUAGACAGAUACUUAAUGUCAAACCUCAACUGUUGCCCCACAAGUCAAAACUGGGUCUUCCCAGUGGCGCUUCCAACUUAUGCUCUUCAACUGCUAAUAAAACUAACAAAGAGGACAGAAAGGUUUACGUAAGGGAACCAGCCAAACCAUUUGUUUCAAUGGCAGAAAUGAUGAAGAAGUUCGAGUCACGUACCAGAGACUUGUCGCUGCCGGUUAAUACUUCUCUGUCACAUAUGAAGACUAGACUCACAUUGACAAGGCCCAAGGAUCCUGAACUUGAAACUGCCCAACGGGUUCGUUCCAUCAGGGUAAAAAGUACUGCUGAGCUUGAGGAAGAAAUGAUGGCUAAAAUUCCAAAGUUCAGAGCUCGACCACUAAAUAAAAAGAUUCUCGAAGCUCGAACUUUACCUGAAAUACCAAGAACUACACCGCAGCUACCGGAAUUUCAGGAAUUUCAUUUGGAGACAAUGGCAAGGGCCAAUCAGAAUGCAGAAUCAGCUUCUGUGGCUUCGACAGAAUUGUCCCAUCAGAAUAAUAAUCCAUGGAAGCCUCGUCUGACUGCACCAAAAAGCCCUAUACUUCAGACAUUAUUGAGGGCUCGUCCCGCUAGGGUGAAAAGCACUUUUGAACUUGAGCAAGAGGAGCUUGAAAAACUACCUAAAUUUAAGGCGAAGCCUUUGAAUAAGAAGAUCUUUGAAAGCAAAGGGGAUUUGGGAAUGUUCUGUAAUGCAAAGAAACAUGUUACCGUACCUCAAGAAUUUCAUUUUGCAACGGAUGAGAGGAUUCCACCUCCUGUUGCUGUUGUUGAUUUGUUUGACAAGCUUUCUUUGAAUUCAGAACCUCGUCAUGAUUAUCCGAUUCCAAGAAACACUACUCCAAAUCCAUUCCACCUUCACACAGAGGAAAGAGGGGCCGAGAAAGAGAGGAGAUUGUAUAUGGAGCUCAUGCAGAAACAGUUGGAAGAGGAAAGAGCUAGGGUUCCCAGGGCAAACCCAUACCCAUAUACCACUGACUAUCCUGUGAUUCCACCAAAGCCAGAGCCCAAGCAUUGCACAAAACCAGAACCUUUCCAAUUGGAAAGUUUGGUGAGGCACGAGGAGGAAAUGCAAAGGGAAAUGGAAGAAAGGAGUAGGGUUGAGAAAGAAGAAGCCCAGAAGAAAAUUUUCAAGGCGCUGCCAAUUCUGAAAGAGGACCCUAUUCCAGUUCCAGAGAAAGUGCGCAAACCCCUUACUCAAGUUCAGGAAUUUAAUCUCCAUGUAGAUCAUCGAGCUGUGGAUAGAGCUGAGUUUGAUCACAAGAUCAAAGAAAAAGAAAUGAUGUAUAAGAGAUACAGAGAAGAGAGCGACGCGGCACGGAUGUGUGUUUUCAGAUGGAGGAAGAGAAGGCCCUGAAACAAUUGAGAAGGACAUUGGUUCCCCAUGCAAGACCAGUGCCUAAUUUCAACCAGCCUUUCUGCCCCCAAAAGUCUUCCAGGGAAACAACAAAAGCAAAAUCACCGAAUUUGCGUGUGCUCCAGAGAAAAGAAAGGCGAAAAGCGUUCAAUGCCGUGGCUACUGCAGUUUCAAGUGCGGCUGCUCAUAUGAGAUAGAUGAUUGUUGGUUGAUUCAAGAGUGGGAAUAGUGUUCAAGAACUCUUGAACCCCUCAUAGAGAAGGGCCCUAUAUCCCUUUUAAUGUAGAACUUUCGUUGUUGCCAAAUUUGUAAUGUACUAUUAUUAUUCUUUUUAAAGCCAUGCUUUCUUAGAAAGAAGUGUAUAAAAACUGUAUUUCCAACUGAGAGAGAAUGCAAUAUUAUUUUUCCAUGCGCACUUCGAGAACAAAUGUGCGCAAAUCCAAA